UAUUACUUUGUGUCUCUUAGUCAACCUGAUCUGGUCUAUGUUCGUGGGGAGGGCAUUAUGGGCAUGUCCACAGCAAUGUCCACCCCAUAGCCACCCCAUGCCCACUCCCCCCGCACUCGCCCAUGCUCGUCGCACAGACCAAAGCAGGCACUCCCGCACCCACUCCCUCAUAUCGAGGGGCACCAUCCAGCACCCCUCCCCCACUAAUGAUCCUUCCGCAGGUUCACCUACGGAAA
RNAcentral lists this unclassified non-coding RNA (236 nucleotides) under uncultured fungus. RNAcentral describes it as "sequence contains ITS1". Lineage: Eukaryota; Fungi. The record is from RNAcentral.